RNAcentral lists this long non-coding RNA (4933 nucleotides) under Aotus nancymaae (Ma's night monkey). RNAcentral's name for it is "lncRNA (ENSANAG00000039154.1)". Lineage: Eukaryota; Metazoa; Chordata; Mammalia; Primates; Aotidae. The record is from RNAcentral.
AAUAUUAUAUUUCUGUUUGCCCUAAAAAUGCAAUGGUUUCUUAUGUCUUUCAGCCUCAAGCUUUAUUCCAGGAAGGUAAUUCUGAAGAUACCUAUCUUCUUGAGAGUGAAAUUUUAUGAAAUCCUAGAUUUCUCCUACCUAGGAAUAACGCCUGUCAGGAACAGUACUUCAGCAUGGGAAUGUGAUCAAACAGAUCUGCAACCUUGCUCCUCAACAGAGGUUCCACUGUGGUCCAGACCAGCAAGGGCUAUCCAAACCACACAAGACCAGUCCUCAGCAGCCCCACCAUGAAGCAGCAGAUGAAUAUGAAACAUAGUUUAAUCGAUUCUGCUUGCUGUCUGGAGAAACAAGAUGCAUUCCAUUGGACUAAGCUUCAAAAAGUAAACUGAAUUUUCUGCUCUUUAGCAGUGAUUAAUUUUAAAAAUAAAGAUAUGAUCAUGAAAAAAAUGUAUUUUCUACAAGCAGUUCAUGCUAUGAAAUUUAGUAAACUGUAAUUGAAUAAAACGAGAAAUCAAAGAGAUGACAGACAGCAGAAGGAAGUUAAAAUGGAGAUUGCAUACCAAAGGAAAAAAGUGAGGAUCAAAAUAACAUCACUUGAAAUUACCGAAGUUGCCAAAGGGCCUGGUUGAUUGGCUGAUGCCCACUUACAUUAGGGAGGAGAAAUGUAUCUGUUAUUAAACUUAGAAAAGUAUCCAUUAUUAAUGAUAUAUUUGUAUUACAAUAAGUGGAUGCAAAUCAUUCAGGAUUAUACCUCUGAUCCUAUUUAUAUCUCACACAUGAUAAAAACAUUUUGGGGUUUAUGCAUCAUAUAAAUAAUUUGAUUGAAGAAAUUGGUUAUCUAAACAAAAACAUUCAUGUUUAUCAGUGGAGUAAAUUUUUUAUUUUUCUUUUAAUUAUCUAAGACUCAAGGCAAGUGUGGAGUGUGAAAAUAGCAUGUGGCAUUUGACAUUUUGAAAUUUGUUUUCUACAAAGUUUCAGUGAAAACAAUAGCCUGCUACAAUGCUGAUCUGAGAUUUGGACCACGAACAAAAGCUCAGUGUGAUGAGGCUAAUAACCUGUACAGACUAGACAGUUGGCAAUUUACUCAAUCUUCUCCGUAGCAUUUGUUCCACCCACUCCCUUCCCUGUUGGUUUCUUUGAGAUUGCUACAAAAGUCAGGAAAGCGCACAUGUAUAGCUGUGAGAAAUAGCUUAAAUCUUUCCACUUGCAGAAACUAUAUUUAUCUAAGCUGAAACUUGGCUUGCAAAGGUAUUUGUAUUAUGGCUCUGUCUGUUUGUCUACAUUUCUUUAAUUUAUGCAGUAUAUGCUAAUUACUUUUUUAACGUGAAAAUAUUUUGACACUGUUUUUCCUCAUUUCUUUGACUUCUUGAAUAAUUUCAUCGUGAGGAUGGCUCUGAAUCACAUCUGCUCUUCGGGUUUCUAGGCUUUUAUUUAGUGUAUACAUCCUUUAGUAGUGGUGCUCAAGUUUCUUGCUUCUGGAUUCCUAAAAUACUUUUAGUAAAUUGAAAUAUUAUAGAGGUGACUUUAGUUAAUCUGAGUUUUGAUGGUUAAUUCUGGAUAAUCACCACAUCUGGAUAUUCAAAAAAGUAAGGGUACAUAUUUAGACUGACCAAAUUUAGACUUCUUUAUGUUGCAAGAACAAAACAAGAUACUCAGUUUCGAGCUGAGGCAGGUCAUUCAACAAAAUUGAAUCUACCUGACCCUCUCAGAAGCUGUAUAAUGUGUUUUAUCUGUCACCGAGGAAUGAUCAAAAAGAUGCAAUUUUUCUUUAUACAAAGGGAAGUAUCAUGUGAAUUCAGAGAUAACACUUCGUACCUGCUCAUCACUUUUAAAAUCUACCUAAGAUUUUACAUGGGGAAGAAGAUGUGUGUUUGUGAACUUGGGAAAUAGAUUUUGGAAGGUUUCAUCUCUUCAAUCUAAUACAUUUACAAGCUUUCUAAAAUCAAAUGCCACAACCUAGAUAGUGUUCACCCCUGGAGAUGUGGCCCUUUCUUUACCAUUGCCCAGUAUACAUCAUGUCUCUUAUCAAUAGCCUUUUCUGACAAAGCAUCACUCUAAAGGGCCAUUUAACUGAUUGACAAGAGAAGAUGAUCACAUAAUUCAGAAAGGCUCUUGCUGACUAAUCACUUUUCUACACAGUUGAUAAAUACUUAUGGUUUCUUGAACUGGUAUAUCUGAAACAUUUCAUUUACCUUUACUAUUAGGAAACGUUCCCAGGUACAAUGGGAAUAUUAUAGUUCUUGCUGCUACUAUCUUGAUAUGGCCUACCAGAAAUUUAGAAAAAAAAGUGGAAGAGUAUUGCCAAUAUUUCUCAGGGUACAUUGAAGCAGCCUUUGCUAUAGCUGUGAGAUUUUAGAAAGUAUUUUCUAAGACAUCUAUCUUAAACAGACAAGACCAUUUUAAAUUAGACUCAUUAAAUCAUUUGUUGUCACAGCCAACAGCCGUGUGGAGCUAGUUAACAAAUGAAAAAUGAGUCUUUCUAACUUGUUUACUUUAUAUGGAUGCUUCUUUUAUUUCAGUUCUUUUUUUCUUUCUGGUAGCACAUUGACACAGGGGAUCUUAUGGUAUUACCUGACAAAAAUUAAAAAUGUGAAGGUUGAAAAUACUAUAGGUGUAAUGUCCAAGUUUACAUAAAACACCAGUGAAGUUCCUAUUGAUAGUGAAUCUUGGGUAGAUCUUCUAAUUCAAGGAAGGGAACCAAUUAAAACCUCAUUUACUUUGCUGAAAAGGCAACACAGAAUCACUUCAGAAGCACAAGAUUCUUGGCACAGGCAAAGGAAUAUGAUGAUUCAAAAUUCAUUUCUAAAUUUUUGCUUCUAGCUCCUGGCCUACCAGCUCAAGGUUGCUCUCGGCAGCAUGCACUAAGUGUCUUUGUUCAUUUAUUUAUUCUUUUGUUCAUUCAUUCAGUCACUCACCAAUCUGCUUUUAAAGGUUACAAUGGAUGAACGUUACCCUUUCAAAUUCUUUGUCUUUUAAGACAUGUUGUUUGUCUUUGCAAUUGUUAUAAAUUAAUCUUUACUUAAUUUCAGUUUACAAAUACUCUCUUCUUAUUGUAGAUUGGGAUUUUGGGGCUUUUUAAAUUGCAUUGCCUUUUUAGCUAGGGUCUAGAAAAAAAUGCAUGCUGACUUUUUUUGUUUGUUUUAUUGUUCAUUUUAGGAAUCCUGUUUAAAGUUUCUUUACUUUUGUUUAUUUUCUAAUACCUUUUGCCUAAUGUGUUGCUUAGUCUUAAGUGAAAUGGAAUAGAAUAUUUUGGUUAGCCUUGUGUAAUUCUGUGCAUCUCAGAGCUGGCAGCAAGGGGAAUGUUAAUGAUAAAAAGAACUUUGGAAUUUGGUAGAUAAAGGUUUGACUCUCAUCACCAGUUUUCUGAUAUGUAAAAUGGAGAUAAUAAACCCUUUAGGAGUUAAAUUGAAGAUAAAAUGAAACAAAGAUAAAGUUCAUAGAACCUAAUAGACACUCAAUAAAUCUGCCAUCUAUUCAGGAAACUUAAACAAACAAACCUAUUCUUCUGAAUUAUCAGGUCGUGUCUAAAUAGGCAAUAAUGCCUCAUAUUUGCCACUAGUCUCUUUAGCAUCUGAGCUUUCAUUUGAUUAAUGAUUCUAGCCAGCUGAAUAUUAUGUGAAUGUUUGUAUUUUAAAAAGAAUUCAAAUCAAUGUUCAAGUUUUAAUAGACUUAUAUUUUUAAAUUGUUUUAUUUUUUAACUUUUGUUUUAGGUUCAGGGGUACAUGUGCAAGAUGUGCAAGUUUGUUGCAUAGGUAAACGUGUGUCAUGGGGUUGGCUGUACAGAUUAUUUCACCAUCCAGUUAUUAAACCUAGUACCCAUUAGUUAUAUUUCCUGCUUCUCUCCAUCCGCCCACCUUCCACCCUUUGAGAGGCCCCAGUGUAUGUUGUUCCCCUCUAUGUGUCCAUGUGUUCUCAUAAUUUAGCUCUCACUUAUGAGUAAGAACAUGUGGUAUUUGGUUUUCUGUUCCUGCAUUAGUUUGCUAAGAAUAAUGGCUUCCAGCUCCUAGAUUUUUGACAUAGUUAAUAUUAAUUGAGCAUUGGCUUUUUACUGAUACUUGUAACAAAAUUCACUUUAUGAUUAUCCAUAGUUGCAUAAAUAUAAUAUGUAUUUUCUUAUUUAGGUUUUUGGUAACAAUGUUAAAGUAAGCACAAAGCUCACAACAACCCUGGAAUUAGUACUUUAAACACUCCUGUAAUUUAAUUUAUUCCUCUUCAUCAUUGCUCCAUCUUACAGUUUCGCUGUUAGUUGUUUUGUAAGUCAUAUUACAGAAAACAGAUCUAUACUAAUUCCUCAGAUUAUUGAACUUUCUUCAAACUUCUCGUUAACUCAUAUAAUCUACAUGCUAUUUAUUUAGUCAUUCCCCCCAUCUAUCCAAAAUUUUAUCAUUCUAAAUUUCUUCCCAAUUUUCUUGGUUUUCAGUUUGAGCUAGACAUACCUGUACAAGUAGCAAGUCCUGUAUUCACUUAGCCAAUACAUACGUAGCAAUUGCCUAUCAUGUAGCAGGCAUUCUUAUCACUGGAGAGAAAGCAAUGAAUAAAACAUGGUCCCCAACUUCUUGGAAGUUACAUUUCAGUGGGGAAAGGCCAAUGCUUAUUGUAUAAGUAAAUAAGUAAACAAUCUGAUUUGAAAUAGUGAUGUGCUGCGAAGAAAAUGAAAUAUGGUGCCCAACAGCCCAGGCUGCAGGCAGGACUGAAAACUGGAUAUUUGGUCCCCUUGGACCUUCUGGUCACCAUGUGAGGUGGACUUACUUUUCCUUGAGUCAUUUGAAAGGACUGUGAAGUCAAAAGUUUUUAAGACUCUAGGGCUUACUGUGGUUCUGGAUUCCAAGGCAACAUUUCUUUGAAGAAACAAGCUUACAGCUCUGCCGAUGGCUUUCCUCUGCGUGUGCAGCACCCUGCAGCGGGGCCAGCCCAACCACCAGGUCCUGCGGGA